UAAAUAGACCAGCCGGCUUUGGCUAGCUGCUGUCUUCUUAGAGGGACUAUCAGCGUUUAGCUGAUGGAAGUUUGAGGCAAUAACAGGUCUGUGAUGCCCUUAGAUGUUCUG
RNAcentral lists this ribosomal RNA (111 nucleotides) under Rhodotorula diobovata. RNAcentral's name for it is "partial small subunit ribosomal RNA". It matches the Rfam family "Eukaryotic small subunit ribosomal RNA", at positions 1352 to 1484 of the family's 1831-position model. The record is from RNAcentral. Lineage: Eukaryota; Fungi; Basidiomycota; Microbotryomycetes; Sporidiobolales; Sporidiobolaceae.